RNAcentral lists this unclassified non-coding RNA (165 nucleotides) under uncultured Agaricales. RNAcentral describes it as "sequence contains ITS1". The record is from RNAcentral. Lineage: Eukaryota; Fungi; Basidiomycota; Agaricomycetes; Agaricales.
UUGAUUUUAAAAGGAUGUGCUGGCUCCUCACGGGGUAUGUGCACUCCUAACAAAACCAAUAUCCACCUGUGCACUCUUUGUAGACAGGACUUCAUAGUCCUUGUCUAUGUUCUUUACAAACACUUGAACUAUUUUGAAUGUCUUUACAAAAACAUAAUUGUAAUA